AAAAAAAAAAAAAAGGAAAUGGGAAGUGUUAAUGCUUAUGCUUUGAUUGAGCUUCUCGCCACGAAGUUUUGUGUUUCUAUCUGUUUGGUUGGUUUGUUUUAUUUCUUGCAUGAACAUGGCAGACAAAUUAUAGUGAUAAUAAAAUUCAAAGAAACUCAAAGUGAUCAUAAGAGGGUUGGUUCUUUAUUCCCUUUCGUGGCCACAAUGUUUGGUAUUUGGUAGUCGGACACACCAAUUGAAACCUAACAUUAGUUAACUCAUACUAAACAUGUCUUAGUUUGAUACUACAUAGUUCGUCGUUUUAUAUUCGCAGCACUAACGAAAAAAAAUUCGUUUUUAGCUAUUUGAGUGGUACUACGCACUAGUCACACACUCAAAUUCUACAAAACGUUGACAAAAAAAAAAAAAAAAGGAAAAAACAUUUUAUUAAAUCAAAUGGCACCACCACAUAACGAGAAUAUUCGUAGUGAGACACGUUCCUUACUCGUUAUACCAACAACAAAAAUGUUAAAACAUAUAAACAAAUAUAUAUAUACAUAAACUCUUUAGAUUCAUUUUUUUUUUUGUCAACUUUUAUCAUUAAACUUUAAAAUCCAUAAAGGGUUACAACAUCAAGGAGCCCAUUACAUGAUAUUAAAGCCCAAUUAACCCACUAAAACAUUACAGCUAAUUAAACAAAAUAGGUUAACUAGGACACGUAUGUGAACACGUGUAGAUACUCAAAGUGGUGUGGAAGAACACUCCAUUACUCAUCACCGCCUUUCACACCGGAACUGAAAUAAUGGCUAGAUCUAGAUUUUCCAGCGAGCAAAUCACCUUUUUGAGCACGAAGAUCUAUCAUAUUUCAGUUUUGGACUCCAAAUUCGUCAAAGAUCUUUUGCAGCUUUCUCCGAACAUAAGGAAACAGAGAGCUUUGAAUCUUCAGAGCAGUUAAUUCUUGGAAGACAUAAGGAGAAGGUGAGAUUUCAGAUUAGUCGCAAAACACGCUCUCCUAAUCCGUUCUUCACCAACUAAUGAAUUCCAUUCACCACGAUUUACAAACUCAAAGAGAAACCGUCAUCCCUUGCCGAGUAUACGGCUUCCACAUGGGUAUGAGGAUUUACUCUCCUCUUGAUUGAAAUCGAGCAGCCUAAUGAUUCAAAAAUCUCUGUAUCACCUCUCGGCUUCAAUCUCCUUAACAUAAAAGAGAUUUAUCUUGCUCUGCAAAAGGAAGAUAAAGACUAAAAACUUACAGAAUUACCAUAAAAACUAAGAGAAACUCGCAUCUAGGCGAGAGAGAUAAUCCGGAUAUAACCGGAACAAAAAACCGACAGAAACUCGUCGGAAAAUAGUACUUAAGCUUUCCCUCUCUGAAAGAUCCGAGAGAGAUAAGAGAGAGAAAGCUCUUGUCCCAAACUUAGUUAUUGUUUUGUCGACAAUAAACUCUUUAGAUUCAUUUUCU
This 1441-nucleotide long non-coding RNA is filed under the name Capsella rubella. Its description in RNAcentral is "long non-coding RNA (CRUB_LNC004395)". Lineage: Eukaryota; Viridiplantae; Streptophyta; Magnoliopsida; Brassicales; Brassicaceae. The record is from RNAcentral.